This 292-nucleotide ribosomal RNA is filed under the name uncultured bacterium. Its description in RNAcentral is "partial 16S ribosomal RNA". It matches the Rfam family "Bacterial small subunit ribosomal RNA", at positions 505 to 796 of the family's 1533-position model. The record is from RNAcentral.
GUGCCAGCAGCCGCGGUAAUACGUAGGGUGCAAGCGUUGUCCGGAAUUAUUGGGCGUAAAGAGCUCGUAGGCGGUUUGUCACGUCGGAUGUGAAAUCCCGGGGCUCAACCCCGGGUCUGCAUUCGAUACGGGCUGACUAGAGUUCGGUAGGGGAGACUGGAAUUCCUGGUGUAGCGGUGAAAUGCGCAGAUAUCAGGAGGAACACCGGUGGCGAAGGCGGGUCUCUGGGCCGAUACUGACGCUGAGGAGCGAAAGCGUGGGGAGCGAACAGGAUUAGAAACCCCUGUAGUCC